AUUAAAUUUUAUUAUUGCAUAUUCAAUGUGCGCAAUGAAUAUACAACUGCAGAAUUGUUUUGUUUCAUUCUUUCGCAAGAAAAAUAUAAACAACAAACAAACAAUUGAAAUUUGAAAUUUGGCUGAUUAUUUGUCAUGGCAUUUAUUCAACAAUAUUCAACAAUAUAAACCAACAAACAACCAACAUCAACAAACUGGCCAACAAGUUAAAACUUGAUGACAAUUGGUCACUGAAGGGAAACCAACAGUAAAUGCAUAAUAAUUUCUAGCUGCUGGGCAGAUCCAUAACAGCUUAAUGAACGAUAUUUGAAUAAAUCACUGCCAAAAUUGGCAUUUUAGUGAACUCUCAAUCAAAUGCUAAUCCGCCAUGACAAUUAAAGCAGCAUAAAUUUAAUGAAAUUAAUCAACUAGUUGUUAUUCUUUUCAACAUACAACAAAAUAAACAAACAACAUCAUUCAUGCAUCGGAUAAACAGAAUUAUUUGGUACAUAAUAAAAUUGUUCUAAAGCAGUUUGAAAUGAAUUCAAAAAGAUAUCAUUGCCAAUAAACGACAAAUGGACACCAUCAUCACUAAAUAAAGAUUGGUGUUUGUCUUCAAAAUCAGAAUGAGUUAUAGUGUAACCCCCAGUUUCAUUUAAGUGAGAUUUAACCCCCUAUUUAUGCGUUUCCUGGUUGCAUCCAUUGCUUUAACAUCUUUGGAAUAUCUCCAUUUCAACCGUGGUAAAAAAAGUUUUCCACAGUUAACAAGUCCAAUAUCAUUGCCACCACAGUGAAGCAAAACAGCAUCUGGUAAACCGCAACAAUGUAUCAAAUUCUCUACUAUUGGUACAACGUUAUAUACUGACAUACCGGACAUUCCUGCCCACAUCAACUUGUAGCCUAACUUAUGCAACCCCAAAUCAUUUCCCAAAGGUCUUAUUUGACUAUGUGAUGAGGCUUUGGCAACCAAGGAGGAUCCAAUAAUCCAAACCACAAAAUUCCCUGAAAACAAUUAAAAUUAUUUAAUUUACCAAACGACUUAGCCUUAUAUAUGAUUUAAAAGAAUUAGAAUUCCAUCUCCCCAGGGUUUGUAUUUCUUCAUCAGUUUUGCCUUCCAAGGCUGCAGUUGUUGCAGCCCCUAUCCGGAAUGAAUGCGUAUUAAAAUCCUCAGGAUUCAAACUAAUAAAAUUUAAAGCAGACCUUAAAACAGCUAAAAACUGAAAACGAGUCAAUUUAUUAUGAUUAAGAUGACAAAAAAGUUGACCUUGAGAAUCUGGACGUAACUGUAAGUAAUCUUUUAACAUUUUGACAACACACAGUUCGUUAUCAUUAACAUUUGAAGACAAUAUUAAAGUUGUUGAACAACCAAUUUGAUCUGUCUUUGAAGACAUUAUUGUAACAAAAACUUCAGAAUCAAUAUCAUUAAAUUUAAUAUCAGAUAUUUUUAAAACAUGAUUAUCAGCAUUUUUGUUAACAUAUGUGAUUUCUCCAAUUCUCAUAAAUCCA
Molecule: long non-coding RNA, 1485 nt
Filed under: Mytilus galloprovincialis (Mediterranean mussel)
Lineage: Eukaryota; Metazoa; Mollusca; Bivalvia; Mytilida; Mytilidae
Source: RNAcentral